This 465-nucleotide ribosomal RNA is filed under the name uncultured bacterium. Its description in RNAcentral is "partial 16S ribosomal RNA". It matches the Rfam family "Bacterial small subunit ribosomal RNA", at positions 28 to 507 of the family's 1533-position model. The record is from RNAcentral.
GACGAACGCUGGCGGCGUGCUUAACACAUGCAAGUCGUACGGUAAGGCCCUUUCGGGGGUACACGAGUGGCGCACGGGUGAGUAACACGUGAGUAACCUGCCCACAACUUUGGGAUAACGCUAGGAAACUGGUGCUAAUACUGGAUAUGUGCUCCUGCUGCAUGGUGGGGGUUGGAAAGCUCCGGCGGUUGUGGAUGGACUCGCGGCCUAUCAGCUUGUUGGUGGGGUAGUGGCCUACCAAGGCGGCGACGGGUAGCCGGCCGGGGAGGGUGACCGGCCACAUUGGGACUGAGAUACGGCCCAGACGCCUACGGGAGGCAGCAGUGGGGAAUAUUGCACAAUGGGCGCAAGCCUGAUGCAGCAACGCCGCGGGCGGGAUGACGGCCUUCGGGUUGUAAACCGCUUUCAGCAGGGACGAAGCUUUUUGUGACGGUACCUGCAGAAGAAGCACCGGCUAACUACGUG